Molecule: ribosomal RNA, 119 nt
Filed under: Pteropus alecto (black flying fox)
Lineage: Eukaryota; Metazoa; Chordata; Mammalia; Chiroptera; Pteropodidae
Source: RNAcentral
GUCUACUGCCAUGCCAUCCUGAACAAGCUCGAUCCUGUCUGAUCUUGGAAGCUAAGCAGGGUCGGGCCUGGUUAGUACUUGGAUGGGACACCACCUAGGAAGACCAGGUGCUGUAGGCG